Molecule: ribosomal RNA, 468 nt
Filed under: uncultured bacterium
Lineage: Bacteria
Description: partial 16S ribosomal RNA
Rfam family: Bacterial small subunit ribosomal RNA
Source: RNAcentral
GACGAACGCUGGCGGCGUGCUUAACACAUGCAAGUCGAACGGAAAGGCCCUGCUUUUGUGGGGUGCUCGUGUGGCGAACGGGUGAGUAACACGUGAGUAACCUGCCCUUGACUUUGGGAUAACUUCAGGAAACUGGGGCUAAUACCGGAUAUGAGCUCCUGCUGCAUGGUGGGGGUUGGAAAGUUUCGGCGGUUGGGGAUGGACUCGCGGCUUAUCGGCUUGUUGGUGGGGUAGUGGCUUACCAAGGCUUUGACGGGUAGCCGGCCUGAGAGGGUGACCGGCCACAUUGGGACUGAGAUACGGCCCAGACUCCUACGGGCGGCAGCAGUGGGGAAUAUUGCACAAUGGGCGGAAGCCUGAUGCAGCAACGCCGCGUGCGGGAUGACGGCCUUCGGGUUGUAAACCGCUUUCGCCUGUGACGAAGCGUGAGUGACGGUAAUGGGUAAAGAAGCACCGGCUAACUACGUG